GGGGGCGUAGCUCAGGGGUAGAGCGCUCGCUUCGCAUGCGAGAGGCCUCGGGUUCGAUUCCCGACGUCUCCA
Molecule: non-coding RNA, 72 nt
Organism: Drosophila ananassae
Lineage: Eukaryota; Metazoa; Arthropoda; Insecta; Diptera; Drosophilidae
Source: Rfam